CUUAUACUGCAGUCGAGCGGACAGAAGGGAGCUUGCUCCCGGAUGUUAGCGGCGGACGGGUGAGUAACACGUGGGUAACCUGCCUGUAAGACUGGGAUAACUCCGGGAAACCGGAGCUAAUACCGGAUAGUUCCUUGAACCGCAUGGUUCAAGGAUGAAAGACGGUUUCGGCUGUCACUUACAGAUGGACCCGCGGCGCAUUAGCUAGUUGGUGAGGUAACGGCUCACCAAGGCGACGAUGCGUAGCCGACCUGAGAGGGUGAUCGGCCACACUGGGACUGAGACACGGCCCAGACUCCUACGGGAGGCAGCAGUAGGGAAUCUUCCGCAAUGGACGAAAGUCUGACGGAGCAACGCCGCGUGAGUGAUGAAGGUUUUCGGAUCGUAAAGCUCUGUUGUUAGGGAAGAACAAGUGCAAGAGUAACUGCUUGCACCUUGACGGUACCUAACCAGAAAGCCACGGCUAACUACGUGCCAGCAGCCGCGGUAAUACGUAGGUGGCAAGCGUUGUCCGGAAUUAUUGGGCGUAAAGGGCUCGCAGGCGGUUUCUUAAGUCUGAUGUGAAAGCCCCCGGCUCAACCGGGGAGGGUCAUUGGAAACUGGGAAACUUGAGUGCAGAAGAGGAGAGUGGAAUUCCACGUGUAGCGGUGAAAUGCGUAGAGAUGUGGAGGAACACCAGUGGCGAAGGCGACUCUCUGGUCUGUAACUGACGCUGAGGAGCGAAAGCGUGGGGAGCGAACAGGAUUAGAUACCCUGGUAGUCCACGCCGUAAACGAUGAGUGCUAAGUGUUAUGGGGUUU
This 800-nucleotide ribosomal RNA is filed under the name Bacillus aerius. Its description in RNAcentral is "bacterial SSU rRNA". It matches the Rfam family "Bacterial small subunit ribosomal RNA", at positions 48 to 833 of the family's 1533-position model. Lineage: Bacteria; Bacillati; Bacillota; Bacilli; Caryophanales; Bacillaceae. The record is from RNAcentral.